GGCACUACGGCAGGAUGAAAGGCAUGGUGAAUCAUUAUUACUACGCAAUAAUGAAGGCCUGGGGGGUGAUCAAUAAUGGCCUGGGGAGGUGAUCAAUAAUGAAGACCUGAUCGGUGAUCAAUAAUAAUGGCCUGGGGAGGUGAUCAAUAAUGAAGACCUGAUCGGUGAUCAAUAAUGAAGGCCUGGGGGGUGAUCAAAAAUGAAGGCCUGGGGAGGUGAUCAAUAAUGAAGGCCUGGGGGGGUGAUCAAUAAUGAAGGCCUGGGGAGGUGAUCAAUAAUGAAGGCCUGGGGAGGUGAUCAAUAAUGAAGACCUGGGGAGGUGAUCAAUAAUGAAGGCCUGGGGAGGUGAUCAAUAAUGAAGGCCUGGGGAGGUGAUCAAUAAUGAAGACCUGGGGAGGUGAUCAAUAAUGAAGACCUGGGGAGGUGAUCAAUAAUGAAGACCUGGGGAGGUGAUCAAUAAUGAAGACCUGGGGAGGUGAUCAAUAAUGAAGACCUGGGGAGGUGAUCAAUAAUGAAGGCCUGGGGAGGUGAUCAAUGAUGAAGACCUGGGGAGGUGAUCAAUAAUGAAGACCUGGGGAGGUGAUCAAUAAUGAAGACCUGGGGAGGUGAUCAAUAAUGAAGACCUGGGGAGGUGAUCAAUAAUGAAGGCCUGGGGAGGUGAUCAAUAAUGAAGGCCCGGGGAGGUGAUCAAUAAUGACGAGCGAUCAGGAUGACAUGUUUACCUGACAAAGACAGGUGGAGACAUGCCAGGAGCCCGGGAGAAAACUCUAGGACAUAUCUGAGUAAACUGGUCGACCAUAUUUGGCUAAGCUUCCAGACGGCAAACUUCACCAUUAAAUCAGUGUUGUUGACAUUAUCUUGUUAGCGGUUGGAGUGAACAACAGGGCCUUCUCUCUCGACCUUGGGAGGAAACCCUCCCUAACUCAGACUCGAUGGAUUCUUAGAAUGAGCUAAUUAUUUUUUCAGAAACCACAUACAGCAUGUUAUCUGACUGUUAUCAGAAAAAAAACGUAUUUGGUUUUUCGAAGGCCAGAGGCAUAUUUCUAUCCUUUAUGUUGAGAAUGACAAAUUAUUGUGGUUCUAUCGUUAUACGUCUACUGCUAAUGCUAAUCACUAUGACCCCGCCUCUGACUCCACCUCUAUGACUCCGCCUCUAUGACUCCGCCUCUAUUAGCGGGGACAACAAAUUCUGACCUUUCCAGAUCUACCUUUAGUAGAUUGUGUAAAUGCUAUGAGUCACUGUCAUAAAAAGGGAGUGGUUCAUGUCUAUGGACUAGUGUUGACACAAGUAAAAAGCCUGUGUACCUUCAUUGUGCAAAGCUAAUUGUAAAAGUCACAGGGAAAUUGUUGAGUUUAGAAUUAUAAUUUGUUUAUGCAGUCAACAAGGCCACUAUAAUGGAGUUCUUUCUGUCCCUACCAUUACCGUGUACAUGUGAAUCAUUUACUUACUGUAUAUAUUCUACUGUAUGUACCACAGGAGGGUAGUGGGACCUUAAUUAGGGAGGACGGGCUCGUGGUAAUGGCUGGAGUGGAAUCACUGGAAUGGGUUUUAAAUACAUCAAACACAUGGUUUCCAUGGUUUCCAGGUGUUGGAUGCCAUUCCAUUUGCUCCGUUACAGACAUUAUUAUGAGCCGUCCUCCCCUCAGCAGCCUCCAAUGGUGUGUAAAUGUACAUUUGCUGAAUACAAAAAAACAAUAUAAUAUAUAUUUUAUAUCUUGUAAAAUGUUAUAUUCAUUAAUUUAAUUAAUUUAUCAAUGGCAAGUUCAUUCAGCAAUGUCAUUGUGUAAUGGUGUCACAGUCUAAUGAUAUCUGCUAUGCUAACGUGAGGUGGGAACAUUCUGACUGUGAGAUGUGGAGGAAUCUGAAGGGUGGACCUUAGGUCCUGGAGAGAUUGGUGGAGAGCUGCUGUGAAAUACCACACGUACAGAGCCCAGAGAAGACCUAGCUCGAUGGCUCUGGCAACACUGCACUGUGACACCAUCCCACUGUGUUGAUAGCUGACUGUAUUUACAGGAAGCUGCAGAGAGCGGACACAUCGUUUAAGCUGCAUAUUUUCACGUAGACAGACACUGUCUAUGAUAUCUCUUUACUGGCAACAACACGUCUGCAGGGCUCUUUUGACCAUCUGCUCAACAUAUCAAGUGGAACUCAGAAACCAUCGGAUGUGUAAUGGAGGCAAUAUUUUCAGAAGAAAAUACUGCAUGUUGGCCGAUAUUGUUUAAAAUACAUUUAUAAUAUAUUUAUAAAACCUGGUCCCUAAAACUGAGUAGAACUCACCAUGACAGGUGUGGAGGCUGUGUGGAUGUAGGACUACCACACACCAUGACAGGUGUGGAGGCUGUGUGGAUGUAGGACUACCACUCACCAUGACAGGUGUGGAGGCUGUGUGGAUGUAGGACUACCACACACCAUGACAGGCGUGGAGGCUGUGUGGAUGUAGGACUACCACUCACCAUGACAGGUCUGGAGGCUGUGUGGAUGUAGGACUACCACUCACCAUGACAGGUGUGGAGGCUGUGUGGAUGUAGGACUACCACUCACCAUGACAGGCGUGGAGGCUGUGUGGAUGUAGGACUACCAAUCACCAUGACAGGUGUGGAGGCUGUGUGGAUGUAGGACUACCAAUCACCAUGACAGGUCUGGAGGCUGUGUGGAUGUAGGACUACCACUCACCAUGACAGGUCUGGAGGCUGUGUGGAUGUAGGACUACCACUCACCAUGACAGGUCUGGAGGCUGUGUGGAUGUAGGACUACCACUCACCAUGACAGGUCUGGAGGCUGUGUGGAUGUAGGACUACCACUCACCAUGACAGGUCUGGAGGCUGUGUGGAUGUAGGACUACCACUCACCAUGACAGGUCUGGAGGCUGUGUGGAUGUAGGACUACCACUCACCAUGAC
This is a long non-coding RNA of Oncorhynchus keta (chum salmon), 2900 nucleotides long. RefSeq lists it as uncharacterized. The transcript has 8 exons. The record is from RefSeq and is a predicted model, not a curated record. NCBI's taxonomy places the organism in Eukaryota, Metazoa, Chordata, Actinopteri, Salmoniformes, Salmonidae.